Molecule: long non-coding RNA, 2416 nt
Organism: Thrips palmi
Lineage: Eukaryota; Metazoa; Arthropoda; Insecta; Thysanoptera; Thripidae
Exons: 2
Source: RefSeq, a predicted model, not a curated record
UUGCUUGCAAGCCAGCAGCAGACUGAUUGAUUCCAAGAGUCAUUUUCGUCGCUCUGUCCCCCUCGCACCCUUACGGGACACCCCAUGAGUGCGAGAGAGAUGGAGCGACGUAAACGACUCUCGGGAUAAGUUUGCAGGGGCCGAGAUAAUGCGUAUCUCAGGAGCACACGCCCAGGGCAGCAAGGCAGCCCCGUCGUGUCGAUUAGUUUUGCAGCCACUCCUGGCAGCGGGGGCUGCACUGUGCGACCGAAUCCUCCGUCUGGCCUGGCCUAAGAUCCAGACGUCGAAGCUAGUCGAACGGCCCCUGUUGAUUGAUUCCGAGAGUCGUUUUCAUCUGUCUCUCUCACGCCUCAUGAGACGGAGAGAGACAGAGCGACGAAGACGACUCUCGGAAUCAGUCUGCUAUGGACUCCAAGCGGAUGGCGGCCACCGCUCCGACCCUGUCACGGGCCUCUGCCACGGCAGGCCACGGCCUCGCCCGAGGGGCCUUGGGGCCGCGGUGCGGCGAGCCCUGCAGUGCCCUGCAGCAGCCGCCCCAUCCCGCCCUGCGCCUGACUGGAAGUGUCGAGGCAGUACCAGUUCUGGCAUUUCUGGCCUGCCUUUUCGGCGGUUAUCGGCCCUCGACGCAGCGUUUAUUGCUCGUCAUGAAGAAGAGUCCUCGCGGUGCCGGCAAUGCGACGGCACAUCCCCGCCAUCUCAACCGCCAAGACCAAUUACUAUGGUAGUAGAAUGGAUCGGUUGAAUAGAAUAGUUCCCCUCUCUAGGUGGGGCAUGACGUUUUCGUGCGUGAGAGGGAUUGCGAUUGCCCUGGUGAUUGCGGAAGCUGCGCCUGUCUGGAGACUCGAUUGGUUCCGCAUGAAGGGCCAGACCAAGAAGCCCCACAACCGACACAGACUCAAAAUUCAACUUCUUGCUGGGCUCACCCACCCCCUAUUUGGCCAUUUUGGUUACCGCUACUCGGAGGGGUUCCUUAUCUCCCGUGAAGUCUGGUCCCUGUGUGAGGGUAGGGGACAAGUCCGUAAACCAUGCGCGUAUCAAUGAAAAACAGCGAAAUGAUAAACAACAAAGUGAUUAUGAAACGUACUGAACGCAUCUUAACACCAGCGUACUUUAACGUAUAUAGCAUCUCAACCUCAACACUAGCGACUUGUUUGACUAAAGCAAUCUCAACGCCCAAUGCAUAAUUCAUAAACGCAUAUCAAUACUUUUGCCAGAAAUGAGUGCAUCGGAAAGACGUCGAUUAUGCGUCAUGUCGACGCCGAAUCGACGCCUUUUCGAUCACCCAUUUCUUGCAGCAAACUCCAUCGAAUGUAUGAUAAACGUAUCUCAACACCAAUGAAUGUAUGAUCAACGCUCCACAAUGACAAAAUGUUUGAUUUACGAAACCUGAGCAGCAGCAACAUGAAUUAACUUGCCUAUUUACCUCUCCUAAACGAUUUUUAUUGUAUGAUGUUAAGUGUAUCGUGUCUAUCCAACUAUAAUUGUCCAUUAAGCGUAGGGUAGCUCCUCACCCGCCUGCCUUUGUAAUGGGCGUGUUCCCUCUGUAGGGAUUCCAAUUCCUAGAUCGUGAGCAUGAGAGCUACUCACACACUAAAUAACUAUGUAUUUUUCGGUGCAUAGCUUCGCACGGGAUUGAGCUUUCAUUUUAAAAUGCAUGAAUUCGUGCGCAGCUAAGCAUGGAGUUGUCCAUUUUCAUGCGGCAACUUUUGCGAUAUGGCGCACAAAUUUGUGCAUUCCACGCGUAUGCUCAAUUGUGUGCAAAAAAAAAAAAUAAUGCAAGUUUUGAAAUUCCUCAGCGGGGAUGAGCUUUGAAUUUAAAAAGGCUUGCGAGUGAAUUGCGAGCCCAAGUCUGUGUGAGGCGGUACGUUUUGUUGUGGAGCAUCGGUCGCUACUAACACCCUUGCGACGAACGCUGUGCGGCGCAACGCUCGCUGGUCUAGGCGUUAUCCUCAAUUCGAAUAUCAGCGGCCUCUAACGUCACGGCCCGGACGGUGUUGACCCGAGGGAUGAAUCACCAGUGUAUACACAUGUUGACACAUUGACCUGUGCUCACUCACACUUUUGGAACAGCAAAACUCACUCAUUUUUUGGCAAUGUUCAACGUUGUUUGCCUUCUUAAACGUUAAAGGAUGUCUAAAACGUUCAGAAAUAUGGAAUUUACGAUCAUUGAAGGUGUACUCACCUCUACUCGUGUACUUAGCGCACAGUGAUUCCCUCCUCGUGGCGCCCUCCCAUAGUAGCCCUCAUUGUCAUUUUCGUCUGUGUCACUUUUUCGGCGCACUUUUCGAUUUUGUAUUUGAUCCAUUUUCCGCGACUCUUUAUCCUAUUUCGGUGUAUUUUUUUUCGUUUUGGUUUAUGGUUUAUCAAUGCCCAUUGUAUUCACAGCCAGCAGAAUAAAUGUCAAUUGAACACAGCA